This 4021-nucleotide long non-coding RNA is filed under the name Triticum aestivum (bread wheat). RNAcentral's name for it is "long non-coding RNA (TAES_LNC020207)". The record is from RNAcentral. Lineage: Eukaryota; Viridiplantae; Streptophyta; Magnoliopsida; Poales; Poaceae.
CCGCCCGGGCCGACUCUUUUCAUUUCGUUUUCUCUAUUUCGAUAAGGCUGAGGGGGAGCUCGAGCGGGGAGCAGAGGAUGCGAUUCUCCCCGUCCAUGGCGAUUUCGAGAUCUCCCACCGCCUGAGCUUGAUCUCUCUUCCCUUUCUCUUCGACACCUGUGUCAUGGUUAGUUGUUCCUCUCUCUCUCUCUCUCUCUCUCUCUCUCUCUCUCUCGCGUGUUUGUUGUUCUGCUUGUGUUGUUCCAGAUCUAGGUCAGUUCAUGUCGCCCUCUCGCCAUCUGAUGCAGCCGCUGGUAUGUGUGAUUUGCUGGGCCUUGUGAUACACGCGUGCGUGCUCCUGUUGUAGUUUGUAGAUGUAACGGUUGUUUUCCUUUUCUACGUAGAUAUAACAUGCGGGAUUCUGUAGGUGUAGAUGUAGCAUGCGGGAUUCCAUGGCAGAUUUCUGUAGAUGUAGCUACACGUGCUGGAUUUUCUGUAGAUGUAGUGUGCGGGAUUUCUAUAGAUGUUCUGCUCAUGUUCCUGUAGGUGAGGUUUGUAUAGAUGCCUAGCUCUUUCCUGCUCAUGUUCUGAUGCUCCUGUGUGUAUUCCUGUUCAUGUACUAAGUACAUUUCGCCUCCUGAUUUGUUCUUGCGGGAUGUAGGUGUUUAGUUCCCCUUGUACCAUGUUUGUUUACUUCUUGCAGGGAUGGUUUGAGUUUAAUUUCAGUGUAAUUUUAUCUCAGCCUUUGAUGGUCAUUUACUCAGUUGUUGUGAUUGGAUUUGCAGUGUUAUUUUACACUGUAAUUCAUCUCAGACUUACAAUGUAAUUUUGUCCCAGACUUGCAGUGUAAUCUCAGUACUGUAUCAGUGUAAUUUCUUUCAGAUUUUGCAGCGUAAUUAACCUGAUUUUUGAAUUGUAAUUUAUGCCAGUCUUUCAGUGUAAUUUGUCCCAGAUUUACAUUGUAAUUUGUCCCGGAUUUACAGUGUAUAUUGAGUGGAUAUUACAGUGUUAUUUGGUUGUAAUUCCAGUGUAGACUUACAGUGUAAUUUUAUCUCAGUAUUGCAGUAUAAUUUGUCCCAAAUUUAUGGUGUAAUUUCUACCAGAUUUAUAAUUUAAUUAACCUUUUUCAGUGUGGUAUUGAGUGAAUUUUCUAUGUUAUUUGAUUGUGAUUGCAGUGUAGUUCAUCCCAGCAUUACAGACUUCUAAUUGUAAUUCACCCAUUAAUUCCAGUGGAUUUAUAGUGUAAUUCGAAUGUAGUUUCAGUGUAAUUUACCCCAACAUUAGAGUGUAGUUUACCCAAUAAUUCCAGUGUGGGUUGUUAUUGGAUUUUGAGUGGUUUUGUCAGUGUAUUUUAGCCCGUCUUGCACACUGUUUGCACAUUAAUUUUGUCUAUUUUCCAAUGUAAUUAAGUCCAGUUUGCUCAGUAAUACCAUUGGUUCCUAUAUAUUAUUUAGCUAGUAUUCAAUGUUCCUUGCUUGGUUCAGUACUGUAGGGCGGUUUUCAUUUAGCUCACUUUAAUGCCUUCUUCAUUGAGGAAUUCAUCGUCUCCUUGUUCAAGUGAGUCUUCUGGUUCUUUUUUUUCUCCUUCUCCAUUCCUUUGACCCGUGCUUGAGUUCGUGUUAGCUGCUGCUCUACUGCAAUCAACAUCUUCAGGCACCUGCAACUUUUAGGGAUUUCUUUUAGUUAUUUUCUUCUGAAAUGUUAUGAGUUUCUCUUAGGUUCAUCAUUGUAUUUCUGAAUUUUGUGGUGUGUACAUGUUGCAGAUUCAUGUUAUAGAACAGGUUUGUGUCCCAGGGAUUACAUCCUCCUCCUCCAUCUUCGCUUGCUGCCACUUAAUUAUGCAAGUUUGCCUCCAAUGUCUGCAAAUGUAAGUUUCAAUGAUUGUUAGUGUGUUUUUCUUUGGCAUUUUCUUGUAAUAGUUAUUCAGCUCUUGUUUUGCUUACAUUGUCAUCUUGUUGUGAUGAAACUGUCAUCUGGUUUGCUCACUUGAAUGUUCGUAGAUCCAUCUCCUGAAUGUACCUGCAAGAUUCAUCACAAGUUUAAUUUUAGACAUCUCAUGAAUGUCCGUGGUAUUUUUUGUUUUUGUCACUUUACCUUGUAUAUAUUGUCGGAAUGAAGGAGCGCAGUGAAAUAAAACGUUUCUUGCAUCAUAAUUUUGUUAGCCUUUUACCCUUUUUAUGUAUUUUUAAACAUCUUCCCAAUGUUUUAGCAACUAUAUCUCACAUUUAGUAUGAGUUAUUCCUGUGAUAACUCAGUAGAUCCUCUUCAGUCACUACCCUCAUCAUGCUCCUGUCCUGUCACAAUUGGAAAGUAGAAUGUUAGUGUUAACAUAAUCAUGAGUAACAAAGCAUUUUAGUAAUAGAUGCUUGAAUGCAUUCUGUAUGCUUGAAUGUUAAUGCUAGUAUUUUGUAAUGUCUGCAUGCUUGAAUGUAUUCUGUAGAUUGUGUUUGUGCUUAUGCUCUCUGCUUUCUAUGUUCUUUCUAUGCCUGAAUGUUUUCUAAGGCUUUUACACUGCAAAUUACUAGGUAAAAGUGUAAUUACCUGAGUUUUCUUCUAGUUUAUUUUCACUGUGGAUUUUACUGGUUUCUUAGUGUAAAACCCCUAGAUUUUUGCACUAGAAUUUCUAGAGAUUUAUAGUGGAAAUUUCUAGGUAGCUACAGUGUAAUUUUUCCCUGGCAUUUACACUGUAAUUUAAUUUGUAGAUACCUACAAUUUAAUUUACAUUGUAAGUAGUACCUACAGUGUAAAUUACACUGGAAUUUUUACAAGGUACUUACAGUGUAACCUACAUCAUUCUGGUGUAACUUACACUGGAAUUUAAUUUGUAGAUUCUAGGUAUGUACAGUGUAAUUAAACUGGAAUUUACCAUGUACUUACAAUGUAAAGCUAGGAAAUUGUGUGUAAAGUUUGGCUGCUGCCCAGUGGCAAGUAACCAUGGAUAGAUAGUUCAUUUUGUAUUACAAACCAGGUUACUAGGUAAUUGCAUCAUUUGUCUCAGGUUUACACUGGAAUUUAUAUCAGAUUUAUCCCACACUGAAAUUCCAGAUUUUACAAUUUUUUGUAUGUAAAUUACUAGGUAUGUACAGUGUAGUUAAACUGGAAUUUACUGUGUACUUACAAUGUAAUUGCACAAUUUGUCUCAUGUUUACACUGGAAUUUACACCAGAUUUCACAAGUUAUUGGGAUUUACACUGUAUUUUUUUAUGAUUUACAGUGUAAAUUACUAGGUAUGUACAGUGUAAUUACAUCAUUUGUCUCAUGUUUACACUGGUAUUUAUGGGGGAUUUACAUGGGAAAUUAUGGAGAAUUUACACUACAAUUUAAUUACAUGGGGAUUUGCACUGUAACUUUCUGGGAAUUACACUGGAAUUUUAUAGGAUUUACACUGGAAAAUGACUACCACUUGCACUAUAAGCUUCUGAAUGUUUUCUGAAUUUUUCCUGUAUUUUUUAUGUUAAUCCCCAUGUAUCUUUCCUAGAAUUAUAGGUGAUCUUGAUCUCUCUAUUUUGAAGAUGAAGAAAAUUCCUUCAGAUUUUGUUAAUGAAAGAGGUGAAGAGAGAUGAUGGUGAGGAGUUUGUGUACGAUUGUUGCUGACCUGUUGAUUCCCCGAUCUCCCAUGGCAGCCUCUCCCUUCCCCAUGGGCGCCUUCCAGAUUUGUUCUAGGCUGUUAGGUGAGAUCUUUGUAGUGGUUGAUGGCAAUUGGCGUGUUUUGUUGUGCCUGGGAUCGGACAAAUCGGGUCAGAUGUUUACCCGACCCGUUUAGACGAUCAGAAGGUUUUUUUUAGCUAUCUGCUGAUUUUCCUGCUCGCUCACGUGUAAUGUGUUGAUUGGUCAGGAAAUUUGACUGUUUUCGAAUUGAAAAACAGUCAAAUGUCAAAUAGACAGUCCCUUACUUUAUAUAUAGCUCACAUCUACAUCGUUGGAUGAAUCCCUCCAAACGAACGACAAGGGGCUGGUCUGACGAAACACAUGGAUUCAGACGUCUGAACUAAAGUGUUUCCCAUUGUUGAUUGUUGCCUUGUCUAUCAUUGUCUACCCCAAG